Molecule: microRNA precursor, 74 nt
Filed under: Anopheles melas
Lineage: Eukaryota; Metazoa; Arthropoda; Insecta; Diptera; Culicidae
Description: microRNA mir-3
Rfam family: mir-3 microRNA precursor family
Source: RNAcentral
CGUUAUGCGACUAACUUCGUUCAGGUGAUGUUUAUUAAGCGAAUUCCAUCACUGGGCAAAGUUUGUCGCAUAAA